This is a long non-coding RNA of Vicia villosa (hairy vetch), 199 nucleotides long. RefSeq lists it as uncharacterized. Lineage: Eukaryota; Viridiplantae; Streptophyta; Magnoliopsida; Fabales; Fabaceae. The transcript is spliced from 3 exons. The record is from RefSeq and is a predicted model, not a curated record.
AGGCUGGUAAAGGAGGUGAACUCACACAUGAUGAGGCGACGAUUAUCAGUGGAGCAUUAGAUCUCACUCUGAAGACUGCAGAGGAGGCUAUGACACCAAUCGAGUCAACUUUUUCCUUGGAUGUUGCUUCAAAAUUGGACUGGGAAGCAAUUGGGAAAUUUCUUGAACGAGGUCAUAGUCGCAUCCCCGUAUACAAUGG